Molecule: unclassified non-coding RNA, 335 nt
Filed under: soil metagenome
Description: partial contains 5.8S ribosomal RNA, internal transcribed spacer 2, and large subunit ribosomal RNA
Rfam family: 5.8S ribosomal RNA (bases 1-120)
Source: RNAcentral
GAUGAAGAACGCAGCGAAAUGCGAUAAGUAAUGUGAAUUGCAGAAUUCAGUGAAUCAUCGAAUCUUUGAACGCACAUUGCGCCCGCCAGUAUUCUGGCGGGCAUGCCUGUUCGAGCGUCAUUUCAACCAUCAAGCCCCCGGCUUGUGUUGGGGACCUGCGGCUGCCGCAGGCCCUGAAAAGCAGUGGCGGGCUCGCUGUCACACCGAGCGUAGUAGCAUACAUCUCGCUCUGGGCGUGCUGCGGGUUCCGGCCGUUAAACCACCUUCAUAACCCAAGGUUGACCUCGGAUCAGGUAGGAAGACCCGCUGAACUUAAGCAUAUCAAUAAGCGGAGA